Molecule: long non-coding RNA, 464 nt
Filed under: Micromonas commoda
Lineage: Eukaryota; Viridiplantae; Chlorophyta; Mamiellophyceae; Mamiellales; Mamiellaceae
Description: long non-coding RNA (MCOM_LNC000349)
Source: RNAcentral
UUCUGCUUCGACCUCACGCAGCGCGCGCGGGACGAGAAGAUCGACCCGAUCAUCGGCAGGGACGAGGAGGUUGAGCGCGUGAUUCAGAUUCUCGCCAGGCGCUCCAAGAACAACCCGAUCCUCCUCGGCGAACCCGGCGUCGGAAAGACGGCCAUCGCGGAGGGCCUCGCGCUGCGAAUCGUCUCCGGUAACGUCCCGGAGUUCCUCCGCGAGAAGCGCGUGCUAUCCCUGGACGUCGGCCUGCUCAUGGCGGGCGCGAAGGAGCGCGGCGAGCUCGAGUCGAGGGUCACCGGCCUCAUCAAGGAGAUUCAGGACAAGAAGGACGUCGUGCUCAUGAUCGACGAGGUUCACACGCUCAUCGGCGCCGGCGCCGUGGGUAAGGGCGGCGGCGGCGGCAUGGACAUCAGCAACAUGCUCAAGCCCCCCUUGGCGCGUGGCGAGCUCCAGUGCAUCGGCGCCACCAC